UACAGAGGUCCCGAGCGUUGUUCGGAUUCACUGGGCGUAAAGGGUGCGUAGGUGGCGAGGUAAGUCGGAUGUGAAAGCUCGGAGCUCAACUCCGAAAUGGCAUUGGAAACUACCUUGCUUGAGGGUUGGAGGGGGGUAGAAUUCCACGUGUAGCAGUGAAAUGCGUAGAGAUGUGGAGGAACACCGAUGGCGAAGGCAGCCCCCUGGGACCUGACUGACGCUCAUGUACGAAAGCGUGGGGAGCAAACAGG
Molecule: ribosomal RNA, 251 nt
Filed under: uncultured bacterium
Lineage: Bacteria
Description: partial 16S ribosomal RNA
Rfam family: Bacterial small subunit ribosomal RNA
Source: RNAcentral